GCAUAUCAAUAAGCGGAGGAAAAGAAACCAACAGGGAUUGCCUCAGUAACGGCGAGUGAAGCGGCAACAGCUCAAAUUUGAAAUCUGGCCCCUCGGGCCCGAGUUGUAAUUUGUAGAGGAUGCUUUUGGCAAGGUGCCGCCCGAGUUCCCUGGAACGGGACGCCGCAGAGGGUGAGAGCCCCGUCUGGCUGGCCGCCGAGCCUCUGUAAAGCUCCUUCGACGAGUCGAGUAGUUUGGGAAUGCUGCUCAAAAUGGGAGGUAUAUGUCUUCUAAAGCUAAAUAUUGGCCAGAGACCGAUAGCGCACAAGUAGAGUGAUCGAAAGAUGAAAAGCACUUUGAAAAGAGGGUUAAACAGUACGUGAAAUUGUUGAAAGGGAAGCGCUCAUGACCAGACUUGGGCUUGGCGGAUCAUCCGGCGUUCUCGCCGGUGCACUUCGCCUCGCCCAGGCCAGCAUCAGUUCGCGCCGGGGGACAAAAGCUUCGGGAAUGUGGCUCCUCCGGGAGUGUUAUAGCCCGUUGCAUAAUACCCUGGGGCGGACUGAGGUUCGCGCAUCUGCAAGGAUGCUGGCGUAAUGGUCAUCAGCGACCCGUCUUGAAACACGGACCAAGGAGUCGUCUUCGUAUGCGAGUGUUCGGGUGUCAAACCCCUACGCGUAAUGAAAGUGAACGCAGGUGAGAGCUUCGGCGCAUCAUCGACCGAUCCUGAUGUUCUCGGAUGGAUUUGAGUAAGAGCAUACGGGGCCGGACCCGAAAGAAGGUGAACUAUGCCUGUAUAGGGUGAAGCCAGAGGAAACUCUGGUGGAGGCUCGCAGCGGUUUCUGACGUGCAAAUCGAUCGUCAAAUAUGGGCAUGGGGGCGAAAGACUAAUCGAACCUUCUAGUAGCUGGCUUCCGCCGA
RNAcentral lists this ribosomal RNA (897 nucleotides) under Cladobotryum heterosporum. RNAcentral describes it as "LSU rRNA". It matches the Rfam family "Eukaryotic large subunit ribosomal RNA", at positions 38 to 964 of the family's 3401-position model. The record is from RNAcentral. Lineage: Eukaryota; Fungi; Ascomycota; Sordariomycetes; Hypocreales; Hypocreaceae.